Non-coding RNA from Camellia sinensis, 362 nucleotides. NCBI's taxonomy places the organism in Eukaryota, Viridiplantae, Streptophyta, Magnoliopsida, Ericales, Theaceae. The record is from RefSeq and is a predicted model, not a curated record.
AAAAAAACAUUUGAGAAGCUGGUUGAGGGGGGCAAUGUUACUCCUACAAAGGAAGUUUAAGCCUCCACAAAUCCCUGAGGAUCUUAAUACUGCUAUUAAGAGUGGAAAAGUCCGAGCUCCAACUCAUAUUAUAUCCACCAUAUCUGAUGACAGAGGCAAAGAGCCAUGAUAUGCUGGUAUCCCAAUGUCUUCCAUUGUUGAACAGGGUUAUGGUGUGGGUGAUGUCAUUUCCCUGUUGUGGUUCAAACGCAGCCUUCUCCGUUACUGCACAAGGUUCAUUGAGAUUUGCGUAAUGUUGUGUGCUGAUCAUAGUCCUUGUGUCUCUGGCGCUCACAACACCAUUGUAACUGCAAGGGCAAGAA